UCAGCAGCUCUGCAAUGCAAGCUGGGGCCCGGGCAGAGAGAUAUCGUAGAAGAACUCUGUUUCCGCCUUCAGCAGAAGGAGCGGGUCAUCCAGGAGCUCCUGAAUGACAAGAACCGGCAGGCCGAAGAGCAGAAGGCCGAGAUCCAGAGCUUGCUCCAAGCCAUGAGCGCCAAACAGCAGCAGAGUUGUUCAUCUUCUGAGAAGAUGGCACAGGCUUUAAUAGAAAGAAGCUGUGAGCUCCAAGUCUUGCACCAGCAGCUGACGGGCCAGAUCCCUGGACGCAAAGCUGGGGGUUCCCCCGCCCGACUCUCACAGGAAGGACAGCCAAGUAAAGGAGAAGGUCUGGUGG
Long non-coding RNA from Gekko japonicus, 349 nucleotides. RefSeq lists it as uncharacterized. The record is from RefSeq and is a predicted model, not a curated record. Lineage: Eukaryota; Metazoa; Chordata; Lepidosauria; Squamata; Gekkonidae. The transcript is spliced from 3 exons.